This 505-nucleotide ribosomal RNA is filed under the name uncultured bacterium. RNAcentral describes it as "partial 16S ribosomal RNA". It matches the Rfam family "Bacterial small subunit ribosomal RNA", at positions 28 to 507 of the family's 1533-position model. The record is from RNAcentral.
GACGAACGCUGGCGGCGUGCCUAAUACAUGCAAGUAGAACGCACAGUUUAUACCGUAGCUUGCUACACCAUAGACUGUGAGUUGCGAACGGGUGAGUAACGCGUAGGUAACCUGCCUGGUAGCGGGGGAUAACUAUUGGAAACGAUAGCUAAUACCGCAUAAUAUUAAUUAUUGCAUGAUAAUUGAUUGAAAGAUGCAACUGCAUCACUACCAGAUGGACCUGCGUUGUAUUAGCUAGUAGGUGAGGUAACGGCUCACCUAGGCGACGAUACAUAGCCGACCUGAGAGGGUGAUCGGCCACACUGGGACUGAGACACGGCCCAGACUCCUACGGGAGGCAGCAGUAGGGAAUCUUCGGCAAUGGACGAAAGUCUGACCGAGCAACGCCGCGGGAGUGAAGAAGGGUGUCGGAUCGUAAAGCUCUGUUGUAAGAGAAGAACGGGUGUGAGAGUGGAAAGUUCACACUGUGACGGUAUCUGACCAGAAAGGGACGGCUAACUACGUG